GGCUGGCUAAAAGAUAGCGAGUUACUUCAAUUUGUUGUUCAUAGUCAAUUACUGACUAAACUCCCUGUUCUACUCUUUCCCCCUUUCUCAUUACUGCACCUGACUAGUCUUUU
Molecule: non-coding RNA, 113 nt
Filed under: Otolemur garnettii (small-eared galago)
Lineage: Eukaryota; Metazoa; Chordata; Mammalia; Primates; Galagidae
Source: RNAcentral